This 23-nucleotide non-coding RNA is filed under the name Arabidopsis thaliana (thale cress). The record is from RNAcentral. Lineage: Eukaryota; Viridiplantae; Streptophyta; Magnoliopsida; Brassicales; Brassicaceae.
GUGCUCUAUUAUGCUUUGAUUUG